UACAGAGGGUGCAAGCGUUGUUCGGAAUCAUUGGGCGUAAAGGGCGCGUAGGCGGUUUUGUAAGUCGGAUGUGAAAGCCCACAGCUUAACUGUGGAAGUGCAUUCGAAACUGCAAGACUAGAGUCUCGGAGAGGGUGGUGGAAUUCCCAGUGUAGAGGUGAAAUUCGUAGAUAUUGGGAGGAACACCGGUGGCGAAGGCGACCACCUGGCUGAAGACUGACGCUGAGGCGCGAAAGCGUGGGGAUCAAACAGG
This 253-nucleotide ribosomal RNA is filed under the name uncultured bacterium. RNAcentral describes it as "partial 16S ribosomal RNA". It matches the Rfam family "Bacterial small subunit ribosomal RNA", at positions 524 to 776 of the family's 1533-position model. The record is from RNAcentral.